Molecule: ribosomal RNA, 484 nt
Filed under: uncultured bacterium
Lineage: Bacteria
Description: partial 16S ribosomal RNA
Rfam family: Bacterial small subunit ribosomal RNA
Source: RNAcentral
AUUGAACGCUGGCGGCAGGCCUAACACAUGCAAGUCGAGCGGAUGAAGGGAGCUUGCUCCUGUAUUCAGCGGCGGACGGGUGAGUAAUGCCUAGGAAUCUGCCUGGUAGUGGGGGAUAACGUCCGGAAACGGGCGCUAAUACCGCAUACGUCCUGAGGGAGAAAGUGGGGGAUCUUCGGACCUCACGCUAUCAGAUGAGCCUAGGUCGGAUUAGCUAGUUGGUGGGGUAAAGGCCUACCAAGGCGACGAUCCGUAACUGGUCUGAGAGGAUGAUCAGUCACACUGGAACUGAGACACGGUCCAGACUCCUACGGGAGGCAGCAGUGGGGAAUAUUGGACAAUGGGCGAAAGCCUGAUCCAGCCAUGCCGCGUGUGUGAAGAAGGUCUUCGGAUUGUAAAGCACUUUAAGUUGGGAGGAAGGGCAGUAAGUUAAUACCUUGCUGUUUUGACGUUACCAACAGAAUAAGCACCGGCCAACUUCGUG